GUGCCAGCAGCCGCGGUAAUACAGAGGGUGCAAGCGUUAAUCGGAAUUACUGGGCGUAAAGGGCGCGUAGGUGGGUUGAUAAGUUGGAUGUGAAAUCCCCGGGCUUAACCUGGGAAGGUCAUCCAGUACUGUUAGCCUAGAGUACAGUAGAGGGAAGUGGAAUUUCCGGUGUAGCGGUGAAAUGCGUAGAUAUCGGAAGGAACACCAGUGGCGAAGGCGGCUUCCUGGACUGAUACUGACACUGAGGCGCGAAAGCGUGGGGAGCGAACAGGAUUAGAAACCCGCGUAGUCC
This 292-nucleotide ribosomal RNA is filed under the name uncultured bacterium. Its description in RNAcentral is "partial 16S ribosomal RNA". It matches the Rfam family "Bacterial small subunit ribosomal RNA", at positions 505 to 796 of the family's 1533-position model. The record is from RNAcentral.